This is a long non-coding RNA of Micropterus dolomieu (smallmouth bass), 653 nucleotides long. RefSeq lists it as uncharacterized. Lineage: Eukaryota; Metazoa; Chordata; Actinopteri; Centrarchiformes; Centrarchidae. The record is from RefSeq and is a predicted model, not a curated record. The transcript has 3 exons.
AAAAUCACACAAAGGCACCAGCAAGUGGAAUUGAAAGUGUGAUACAGAUGAGGGGGGAGUUGGGGGGGUACGGAUGAAAACAGGAUUAGACUCCACAGGCCUGGUUCCCACAGAUUGCCUGAAAUGGGGAACAGAUUUAAAGCAGAGUGCAACUCUUGCAUCACAGUCAGCGUAUAAAGGUCUGACUGUCUCUGCCUUUAAAGUGUUUGGGUCUGACUCCGGAUGUGUCUAAAUGAUAACACCUCUCCAUGCUCAUUGGAGGCCUCCCAGAUCCGUCUCCUCAACCUCGGUGUUAUCUGUGAUCAUACGCCCCCACGCUAUCGAGCUCAGUCAAAGACCAUCCCAUGGAAGAGGAGUGCUGCUGUGAGGAUCUCCCUUGAUAUAUGAGCUGCCAGGGAAUCUCAGAGUGUCUCACUUGAGGAGAAGAAGGCCCGGUGUGCUGAGGCCCAAAAUGAGUCACUGCAGCAGACUGUGAUAAUAAUGUGGAUCAAGCAUUUGAAGACAUUUAUCACUUCAUGUUGAUUGUGGAUAAGGAUGUUAGAUCAGGGGAUGUAUUGAUGUUUGAAAAUUCAUCAUUUCAUGAGGUGUUUUUACUGUCUGACAAAUACAAAUGUCUGAAUGACAAGCUCAAAUAUUAAACAUUUCUAAAUCAA